RNAcentral lists this ribosomal RNA (408 nucleotides) under uncultured bacterium. Its description in RNAcentral is "partial 16S ribosomal RNA". It matches the Rfam family "Bacterial small subunit ribosomal RNA", at positions 28 to 526 of the family's 1533-position model. The record is from RNAcentral.
GACGAACGCUGGCGGCGUGCUUAACACAUGCAAGUCGAACGAAGUGGCGAACGGGUGAGUAACGCGUAAUCAACCUGCCCUUCAGAGGGGGACAACAGUUGGAAACGACUGCUAAUACCGCAUACUGAAGGAGGGGAUUGCGUCUGAUUAGCUAGUUGGAGGGGUAACGGCCCACCAAGGCGAUGAUCAGUAGCCGGUCUGAGAGGAUGAACGGCCACAUGGGGACCGAGACACGGCCCAGACGCCUACGGGAGGCAGCAGUAGGGAAUCUUCGGCAAUGGGGGGAACCCUGACCGAGCAACGCCGCGUGAGUGAUGAAGGUUUUCGGAUCGUAAAGCUCUGUUGUUAAGGAAGCGGUACUUGACCAGAAAGGGACGGCUAACUCCGUGCCAGCAGCCGCGGUAAUAC